RNAcentral lists this long non-coding RNA (373 nucleotides) under Prunus persica (peach). RNAcentral's name for it is "long non-coding RNA (PPER_LNC001537)". The record is from RNAcentral. Lineage: Eukaryota; Viridiplantae; Streptophyta; Magnoliopsida; Rosales; Rosaceae.
AACCAUACAAAAUGGUAGCCCAAAAUGCAAAACUUUCGCCGGAAAAAAAAAAAAAAAAAAAACUUUAGCCACUAGGCAAAACAGAGCACUUCAUCCAGAAAAAGACAAAACGACUGGUUGGAAGCAAACUUGAAAAAGAUCUGAGCCAUGAAAGAAAACCAAGUUUGGCCAUAGAAUAUAUAGUAUACUUGGAUUGGAUGGCAGUCAUUGCCAGUUUUCGGAACGAUGGUGAAAACUGUUUCAUUUAAGAUAACAAAGGUAAUUUUCUUACAAUUCAGCUAGAAUUUCCUAAUUACCAGAGAUAUCUUCUAUUUCAGAUUGUUGGGAUGCGGUCAUAGAGCCUUGCGCUGCAGGAAUUGUAGGAGAAAACAAG